RNAcentral lists this ribosomal RNA (334 nucleotides) under uncultured bacterium. Its description in RNAcentral is "bacterial SSU rRNA". It matches the Rfam family "Bacterial small subunit ribosomal RNA", at positions 237 to 587 of the family's 1533-position model. The record is from RNAcentral.
CUGAUUAGAUAGUUGGUGGGGUAACGGCUUACCAAGUCAACGAUCAGUAGCCGGACUGAGAGGUUGAACGGCCACAUUGGGACUGAGAUACGGCCCAGACUCCUACGGGAGGCAGCAGUCGGGAAUAUUGCGCAAUGGAGGAAACUCUGACGCAGUGACGCCGCGUGCAGGAAGAAGGUUUUCGGAUUGUAAACUGCUUUAGACAGGGAAGAAUAAAGACAGUACCUGUAGAAUAAGCUCCGGCUAACUACGUGCCAGCAGCCGCGGUAAUACGUAGGGAGCAAGCGUUAUCCGGAUUUAUUGGGUGUAAAGGGUGCGUAGACGGGAAAUUAAG